AACGAACGCUGGCGGCAGGCUUAACACAUGCAAGUCGAACGCCCCGCAAGGGGAGUGGCAGACGGGUGAGUAACGCGUGGGAACAUACCCUUUCCUGCGUAAUAGCUCCGGGAAACUGGAAUUAAUACCGCAUACGCCCUACGGGGGAAGGAUUUAUCGGGGAAGGAUUGGCCCGCGUUGGAUUAGCUAGUUGGUGGGGUAAAGGCCUACCAAGGCGACGAUCCAUAGCUGGUCUGAGAGGAUGAUCAGCCACAUUGGGACUGAGACACGGUCCAACCACCUGGGGGAGGCAGCAGUGGGCAAACUUGGACGAUGGGCGAAAGGGGGAAGGAGCGAAGCCGCGGGAGAGACGAAGGUCUUCGGAUCGUAAAGCUGUGUAAUGAGGGAAGAAGGGAAGUGCACUUACACCUUGAAGUAUUGACGGUACCGAAGGAGAAAGCCCCGGCUAACUUCGUG
Molecule: ribosomal RNA, 456 nt
Filed under: uncultured bacterium
Lineage: Bacteria
Description: partial 16S ribosomal RNA
Rfam family: Bacterial small subunit ribosomal RNA
Source: RNAcentral